GGUACUGAUAUCAGGAAGCAGCUGACUGGACCGACAGGUACUGGUAUCAGGAAGCAGCUGACUGGACAGACAGGUACUGAUAUCAGGAAGCAGCUGACUGGACCAACAGGUACUGGUAUCAGGAUGCAGCUGACUGGACCGACAGGUACUGAUAUCAGGAAGCAGCUGACUGGACCGACAGGUACUGGUAUCAGGAAGCAGCUGACUGGACAGACAGGUACUGAUAUCAGGAAGCAGCUGACUGGACCAACAGGUACUGAUAUCAGAAAGCAGCUGACUGGACAGACAGGUACUGAUAUCAGAAAGCAGCUGACUGGACCAACAGGUACUGACAUCCUGGACCGACAGGUACUGAUUUCAGGAAGCAGCUGACUGGACAGACAGGUACUGAUAUCAAUCAGGAAGGAGCUGACUGGACCGACAGGUACUGAUAUCAGGAAGCAGCUGACUGGACAGACAGGUACUGACAUCAGGAAGCAGCUGACUGGACCGGCAGGUACUGAUAUCAGGAAGCAGCUGACUGGACAGACAGGUACUGAUAUCAGGAAGCAGCUGACUGGACCAACAGGCACUGAUAUCAGGAAGGAGCUGACUGGACCGACAGGUACUGAUAUCAGGAAGCAGCUGACUGGACAGACAGGUACUGAUAUCAUGAAGCAGCUGACUGGACCGACAGGUACUGACAUCCUGGACCGACAGGUACUGAUAUCAGGAAGCAGCUGACUGGACCGACAGGUACUGAUAUCAGGAAGGAGCUGACUGGACCGACAGGUACUGGUAUCAGGAAGCAGCUGACUGGACAGACAGGUACUGAUAUCAUGAAGCAGCUGACUGGACCGACAGGUACUGACAUCCUGGACCGACAGGUACUGAUAUCAGGAAGCAGCUGACUGGACCGACAGGUACUGAUAUCAGGAAGGAGCUGACUGGACCGACAGGUACUGAUAUCAGGAAGGAGAUGACUGGACAGACAGGUACUGAUAUCAUGAAGCAGCUGACUGGACCGGCAGGUACUGACAUCCUGGACCGACAGGUACUGAUAUCAGGAAGCAGCUGACUGGACCGACAGGUACUGAUAUCAGGAAGGAGCUGACUGGACCGACAGGUACU
Non-coding RNA from Oncorhynchus mykiss (rainbow trout), 1110 nucleotides. Lineage: Eukaryota; Metazoa; Chordata; Actinopteri; Salmoniformes; Salmonidae. The record is from RefSeq and is a predicted model, not a curated record.